GAGUUUGAUCGUGGCUCAGAACGAACGCUGGCGGCGUGGAUAAGACAUGCAAGUCGAACGGGAGAAUUGCUAGCUUGCUAAUAAUUCUCUAGUGGCGCACGGGUGAGUAACACGUGAGUAACCUGCCCCGAGAGCGGGAUAGCCCUGGGAAACUGGGAUUAAUACCGCAUAGUAUCGAAAGAUUAAAGCAGCAAUGCGCUUGGGGAUGGGCUCGCGGCCUAUUAGUUAGUUGGUGAGGUAACGGCUCACCAAGGCGAUGACGGGUAGCCGGUCUGAGAGGAUGUCCGGCCACACUGGAACUGAGACACGGUCCAGACACCUACGGGUGGCAGCAGUCGAGAAUCAUUCACAAUGGGGGAAACCCUGAUGGUGCGACGCCGCGUGGGGGAAUGAAGGUCUUCGGAUUGUAAACCCCUGUCAUGUGGGAGCAAAUUAAAAAGAUAGUACCACAAGAGGAAGAGACGGCUAAACUCUGUGCCAGCCGCCGCCGCGGUAAC
RNAcentral lists this ribosomal RNA (497 nucleotides) under uncultured microorganism. RNAcentral's name for it is "bacterial SSU rRNA". It matches the Rfam family "Bacterial small subunit ribosomal RNA", at positions 9 to 524 of the family's 1533-position model. The record is from RNAcentral.